Non-coding RNA from Pelobates cultripes (western spadefoot toad), 407 nucleotides. The record is from the annotation of a GenBank genome assembly. NCBI's taxonomy places the organism in Eukaryota, Metazoa, Chordata, Amphibia, Anura, Pelobatidae.
GUUGUCUACAGAUAUUAUACCGAACAUGCUGCAUAUUAUGCUUGCAGAAGAGAGCAGCAUACCAGUAACAAAUUGCAUAUUUCAAUACUAUGUGUUUGGUUCUCUUGCAGCUACUGAGUGUUUACUUUUAACAAUGAUGUCUUAUGACCGUUACUUGGCGAUAUGUAACCCAUUACGAUACUCUUCCAUCAUGGACAAUCAUCUAUGUCUAGGCCUUAUUGUGUUUUCUUGGAUAGUUGGGUUUCUUCCAACUUUGCCAGUUGCAAUUUGUGUGUCCAAACUAAAAUUCUGCAGUCCAUAUAUCGACCAUUUUUUCUGUGAUCUUGCCCCUUUCUUGGAACUUGCCUGUUCAGACACAUCAGUGGCUCACUUGUUGGCACUUGUCUUUUCAGUGUUUGUUACUUUCU